AUUGAACGCUGGCGGCAGGCCUAACACAUGCAAGUCGAACGAGUGGCGCACGGGUGAGUAAUGUCUGGGAAACUGCCUGAUGGAGGGGGCUAACUACUGGAAACGGUAGCUAAUACCGCAUACCAUCGGAUGUGCCCAGAGGGGAUUAGCUAGGAGGUGGGGUAAAGGCUCACCUAGGCGAAGAUCCCUAGCUGGUCUGAGAGGAUGAUCAGCCACACUGGAACUGGGACACGGGCCAGACUCCUACGGGAGGCAGCAGUGGGGAAUAGUGCACAAUGGGCGCAAGCCUGAUGCAGCCAUGCCGCGGGUAUGAAGAAGUCCUUCGGGUUGUAAAGUACGUUCAGCGGGGAGGCGUUACCCGCAGAAGAAGCACCGGCGAACUCCGUGCCAGCCGCGGCGGUAAUG
This 405-nucleotide ribosomal RNA is filed under the name uncultured bacterium. Its description in RNAcentral is "partial 16S ribosomal RNA". It matches the Rfam family "Bacterial small subunit ribosomal RNA", at positions 29 to 525 of the family's 1533-position model. The record is from RNAcentral.